RNAcentral lists this ribosomal RNA (591 nucleotides) under uncultured archaeon. RNAcentral's name for it is "bacterial SSU rRNA". It matches the Rfam family "Archaeal small subunit ribosomal RNA", at positions 82 to 656 of the family's 1478-position model. The record is from RNAcentral.
CGUACGGCUCAGUAACACGUACCCUUCCUGCCCUGGAGACAUGGACAACCCCGGGAAACUGGGAUUAAUCCGUGAUAGGUCAUCCCAUCUGGAAGGAGGGAUGGCUUAAAGGGGCGCGCGGGCUUCUUCUGCGCGUCCGCUCCAGGAUGGGACUGCGUCCGAUCAGGCUGUUGGCGGGGUAAUGGCCCACCAAACCUGUAACCGGUACGGGCCUUGAGAGAGGUGGCCCGGAGAUGGACACUGAGAGAAGGGUCCAGGUCCUACGGGGCGCAGCAGGCGCGAAACCUUCGCAAUGCGCGAAAGCGUGACGAGGUUAAUCCGAGUGGCCUCCGCUGAGGAGGCCUUUUGUCAGCUGUAAAUAGGCGGGCGAAUAAGGGGAGGGCAAGCCUGGUGUCAGCCGCCGCGGUAAUACCAGCUCCUCGAGUGGUCGGGGCGAUUAUUGGGCCUAAAGCAUCCGUAGCCGGUUCCGUAGGUCCUCUGUUAAAUCCACCCGCUCAACGGGUGACCUGCAGAGGAUACCGCGGGACUAGGAGGCGGGAGAGGCGGACGGUACUCCGCGUGUAGGGGUAAAAUCCUUUGAUCCGCGGAAGA